This 253-nucleotide ribosomal RNA is filed under the name uncultured bacterium. Its description in RNAcentral is "partial 16S ribosomal RNA". It matches the Rfam family "Bacterial small subunit ribosomal RNA", at positions 524 to 776 of the family's 1533-position model. The record is from RNAcentral.
UACGGAGGGUGCAAGCGUUAUCCGGAUUCACUGGGUUUAAAGGGUGUGUAGGCGGGCUAUUAAGUCAGUGGUGAAAUCUCCGGGCUCAACCCGGAAACUGCCAUUGAUACUAUUAGUCUUGAAUAUUGUUGAGGUAGGCGGAAUAUAUCAUGUAGCGGUGAAAUGCAUAGAUAUGAUAUAGAACACCGAUUGCGAAGGCAGCUUACUAAACAAUUAUUGACGCUGAGGCACGAAAGCGUGGGGAUCAAACAGG